UGGGGAAUAUUGCACAAUGGGGGAAACCCUGAUGCAGCGACGCCGCGUGAACGAAGAAGGUAUUCGUAUCGUAAAGUUCUGUCCUAUGGGAAGAUAAUGACAGUACCAUAGAAGAAAGCUCCGGCUAAAUACGUGCCAGCAGCCGCGGUAAUACGUAUGGAGCGAGCGUUGUCCGGAAUUAUUGGGCGUAAAGGGUAUGCAGGCGGUUUAAUAAGUCGAAUGUUAAAGAUCGGGGCUCAACCCCGCAAAGCAUUGGAAACUGAUAAACUUGAGUAGCUGAGAAGAAAGUGGAAUUUCUAGUGUAGUGGUGGAAUGCGUAGAAAAUAGGAGGAAUACCAGUAGCGAAGGCGACUUUCUGGACACAAACUGACGCUGAGGUACGAAAGCGUGGGGAGCAAACAGG
Molecule: ribosomal RNA, 403 nt
Filed under: bacterium
Lineage: Bacteria
Description: partial 16S ribosomal RNA
Rfam family: Bacterial small subunit ribosomal RNA
Source: RNAcentral